AUAAUCCUGUAAUGUUCGUUAAUCUAUUGUUAUUAACCCACAGUAUGACUACGGGAGCUCGGGUUUGACCAUAGGAUGCCAUGUCCCUAGUGGGGAAGGCAGAAUUGGGCAAUAGGGCACCCACCUGCCGAGAGGCGGGUCUAAUAAUAGUAGAGAACGGCAUUAUGGGAGAAGC
This 175-nucleotide non-coding RNA is filed under the name Clostridiales bacterium. RNAcentral describes it as "6S RNA". It matches the Rfam family "6S / SsrS RNA". From Rfam's summary of the family: E. coli 6S RNA was the first non coding RNA to be sequenced, but its function was unknown until recently. The record is from RNAcentral. Lineage: Bacteria; Bacillati; Bacillota; Clostridia; Eubacteriales.